RNAcentral lists this ribosomal RNA (460 nucleotides) under uncultured bacterium. RNAcentral's name for it is "partial 16S ribosomal RNA". It matches the Rfam family "Bacterial small subunit ribosomal RNA", at positions 338 to 795 of the family's 1533-position model. The record is from RNAcentral.
CCUACGGGUGGCAGCAGUGAGGAAUAUUGGUCAAUGGCCGUAAGGCUGAACCAGCCAAGUAGCGUGAGGGAAGACUGCCCUAUGGGUUGUAAACCUCUUUUAUGCGGGGAUAAAGGUGUCCACGUGUGGAUGUUUGCAGGUACCGCAUGAAUAAGGAUCGGCUAACUCCGUGCCAGCAGCCGCGGUAAUACGUAGGAGGCAAGCGUUAUCCGGAAUGACUGGGCGUAAAGGGUGCGUAGGUGGUUUGACAAGUUGGUAGCGUAACUCCGGGGCUCAACCUCGGCACUACUACCAAAACUGUCGGACUUGAGUGCAGGAGGGGCAAAUGGAAUUCCUAGUGUAGCGGUGGAAUGCGUAGAUAUUAGGAGGAACACCAGUGGCGAAGGCGAUUUGCUGGACUGUAACUGACACUGAGGCACGAAAGCGUGGGGAGCAAACAGGAUUAGAUACCCGAGUAGUC